UGGGGAAUAUUGGACAAUGGGCGCAAGCCUGAUCCAGCCAUGCCGCGUGAGUGAUGAAGGCCCUAGGGUUGUAAAGCUCUUUCACCGGUGAAGAUAAUGACGGUAACCGGAGAAGAAGCCCCGGCUAACUUCGUGCCAGCAGCCGCGGUAAUACGAAGGGGGCUAGCGUUGUUCGGAUUUACUGGGCGUAAAGCGCACGUAGGCGGACUAUUAAGUCAGGGGUGAAAUCACGGGGCUCAACCCCGGAACUACCUUUGAUACUGGUAGUCUUGAGUACGAGAGAGGUGAGUGGAAUUCCGAGUGUAGAGGUGAAAUUCGUAGAUAAUCGGAGGAACACCAGUGGCGAAGGCGGCUCACUGGCUGGAUACUAACGCUGAGGUGCGAAAGCGUGGGGAGCAAACAGG
Molecule: ribosomal RNA, 404 nt
Filed under: Actinomycetes bacterium
Lineage: Bacteria; Bacillati; Actinomycetota; Actinomycetes
Description: Actinobacteria bacterium partial 16S ribosomal RNA
Rfam family: Bacterial small subunit ribosomal RNA
Source: RNAcentral